This 1222-nucleotide long non-coding RNA is filed under the name Sus scrofa (pig). Its description in RNAcentral is "lncRNA (ENSSSCG00070004001.1)". Lineage: Eukaryota; Metazoa; Chordata; Mammalia; Artiodactyla; Suidae. The record is from RNAcentral.
CGCCUGCCGCCACCCACCCAACUCCUUUCCUCCUCGUCUCCUCUCCCAACCAUCCUGCGGCACCUAGAACGGCGAUUCUGCUCCAGCCCCAGGCAGAUGGAUCGUCACCGCGGGUGUGGAGUCUCCGCAGGAUGUCACCGCACUCUGCAGAAGCUCAUCACGCACUCGGGCGUUUGUAACUCCCAGGCCAUGGCGUCCCGGCGGACCGGGUGGGCAGAGCCCGCAGGAAGCAUCCGGGCCGUGGGGGUUGUGGAGGGCGGAAGGCACCAGCGGGUCCUGGGGCCGUGGAAAUGGAGCCCCCCCGCCAUCCCCCCCACCCCCCGCAGGAAGGGCCUGAAGAAUUCACCUGCCGUUCCAUGGGUAAGCCCCUCGUUAAAACGGAGCCUUUGGGGGUGUCAGCAGAGUGGGGUGUCUGGAAGGGCCCCAGGCUCAGACCCCUUGGGUGGCACUUUUCUCCCUCCCUGUGCGGCUCUAAACAGCUGACCUCUCUGUUAUAAAGGCCACUUUGCAGAGCUGGGGAGACCACAACAGACCAGGCAUGGGGCCGAGCUGGGCGUGCCAACCUGGAGUAAAACGCCAGGGCCUGCCUCCUGGGUCGGCAAACUCAGCAGGGAGCCCCGCAGAAAAGGCCCCGGGCCACGCCAGGACCUGGGUCUAGGCUACCCUCUGCGGUGAGGCUGGGAGCAGGGGUGUGACUUGUGGGACCUUGGCUGCUGUGUCCACACAACUGGUCUCUAAGGGUCCUUUAGCAACCCCGGCCAGGGAUGGGGCAGGGACAGGCAGCCGAGAGGGGAGGGGGGAUGGAGGCUGCCUGAAGGCGUUGUGGUGGCAGCAGCUCCCAUGGUCACGGUCACCUUGUCCAGGGAAGCCUCUCCCAGACGCCUGGCCCCGGCCGGGUGGCGUCUGGCUUUAGAGGAAUCACUGAAAGCUUCACCCUCGGACUGUGACGCUCUUGGGCAGCGGGAGCUGCGCAAAUUGCACGGUCACAGCCUGAGUGACGGACUCAGCCUCUGGUUGUUCGCCAAGUGUUUAUUAAGUUCCGACUGUAUGCAAGUGCUGUGCCUGGGGUGGGGGUGGGAACAGGACAGGCUGGGACGGACGCCGUGCUCCACGGGCUCUGAAAGCAGACAGGAUGCAGAGCUGGAGGCAACGUGAUUCAAGGUGGGCACGGCCUGGGGGCCGGGGCCGGGGGUGUGUGUGUUGGGGGUGGGGUGCGGAGCGA